This 424-nucleotide ribosomal RNA is filed under the name uncultured prokaryote. Its description in RNAcentral is "bacterial SSU rRNA". It matches the Rfam family "Bacterial small subunit ribosomal RNA", at positions 355 to 796 of the family's 1533-position model. The record is from RNAcentral.
UGGGGAAUAUUGGGCAAUGGGCGCAAGCCUGACCCAGCCAUGCCGCGUGGAUGAAGAAGGCCCUAGGGUUGUAAAGUCCUUUCACCGCUGAAGAUAAUGACGGUAAGCGGAGAAGAAGCCCCGGCUAAUUCCGUGCCAGCAGCCGCGGUAAUACGGAAGGGGCUAGCGUUGUUCGGAAUUACUGGGCGUAAAGAGCGCGUAGGCGGCCAGCCAAGUUGGGGGUGAAAUCCCGAGGCUCAACCUCGGAACUGCCCUCAAAACUGGUUGGCUCGAGUCCGGAAGAGGGGCGUGGAAUUCCCAGUGUAGAGGUGAAAUUCGUAGAUAUUGGGAAGAACACCGGUGGCGAAGGCGGCGCCCUGGUCCGGUACUGACGCUGAGGCGCGAAAGCGUGGGGAGCAAACAGGAUUAGAUACCCCCGUAGUCC